This 609-nucleotide ribosomal RNA is filed under the name uncultured fungus. RNAcentral describes it as "eukaryotic LSU rRNA". The stretch from base 322 to 475 matches the Rfam family "5.8S ribosomal RNA". Lineage: Eukaryota; Fungi. The record is from RNAcentral.
UGAGCUGUAUAUAUCAACCCACCCUGUGUACGCUGUCCUGUUGCUUCCGCCGGGCAACCCAGGAGCGAGGAGGAUGUGCCUUGCAGUUUGGUGUACUUACUUUGCUACUCCUUUCCCCGCCGCUCCUUCUCGUAUCCUGUCAAAUGAUGGGUGCGGGGGGGAGAGCACAGGUGGGGCCGUUGGGGGGGAGGAGAGUGGGGAAUCCGAAGCUGCUCUGCUGGACAUUUUCUUUCGCCUGAUGCCUGGCGGGAGGGAUCAAUAACCUCGGAAUUUCACUGCACGAAGUCUGUCUGAAUAAAUCGAACCAACGAAAUGUUAAAAAACUUUCAGCAACGGAUCUCUUGGUUCUCGCAUCGAUGAAGAACGCAGCGAAAUGCGAUAAGUAGUGUGAAUUGCAGAAUUCAGUGAAUCAUCGAAUCUUUGAACGCACAUUGCGCCUUCUGGCAUUCCGGGAGGCAUGCCUGUUCGAGGGUCAUUGACAACCAUAUCGCGUCCUCUCCCCCUCCUCACACACCCCGGCGGUGUUGGGGGACUGGACAAGGACACUUGGUGAAGGAGGAUUGAGGGCUGCUGUGAGUGCUCCUGCCGCAACAUCGAUCGAUUGAAUCU